Molecule: long non-coding RNA, 216 nt
Filed under: Mus pahari (shrew mouse)
Lineage: Eukaryota; Metazoa; Chordata; Mammalia; Rodentia; Muridae
Description: lncRNA (MGP_PahariEiJ_G0005322.1)
Source: RNAcentral
GGUUUCUGCUUCACACCCUAAAGAUGGCAACGGUUCCAUAGCACAGAGUCUCUCCUGGGAUCUCUCCUGGGAGGAAGAAGAGCCUACAGAGGGGCGACUUCUAAGACUUCUAAGGGGAAAGAGAACAGAGAACAGGUGUUGUCUCGGAGCAAAAACCUCCCUGCGAAAACUCUCCAAGGCCCUGCGUCUCAUGCAUUAAGCUAUUAGAGCCGUCAA